CGUUUAGGGGUAAACCUGAGAAACCCGAAAGGUCGAAGGAGGAAAUUCAUUCGCGUUUUGACGUUUAAGUUGAAUGGUGUUUGUGUGACGUAAAAAAGAGCUUGUCUCUUUCAGCGCACCCAUCAUUUAUCGAAUUUACGACAAACGCGUGCACUUUUCCUCUUGUAGAACGUCGCAAUCCGUUGGGUGUUGAUCUACGACUUGUGGUGGAGUCCGUUCUUAACGUGCUUAUGCACAUUGAGUACGAACCCAUAAUGUUCUGGUCAACUAGCUCGACGGUAUAAAUAAGAUUUUAGAUCGCUGCUUAAUAUUGAAGCGUCUGACUUAUGGCAAGCGCGCCAUAUGUUUGUUGGCAAUCGGACCUAGUGCCGGUUCCGACCUUUGGUGACUGUUGGCUGUAAUGUUCUCGGACAGAUCUUUAAUCGUUUAGCGGCGCUAUAGCUUUGGGUAAUUUCAGGACCCGUCUUGAAACACGGACCAAGGAGUCUAGCAUGUACGCAAGUCAUUGGGAAUAAUUACUAAACCUAAAGGCGUAAUGAAAGUAAAAGUUUUUGCUUGCAAAAACCGAGGGAAGAUGAGUGAUUUUUUUAAUUGAAAUUCGCUUCGCACUCCCGGGGCGUCUCAUUCUCAUUGCGAGACGAGGCGCACCAAGAGCGUACACGCUGGGACCCGAAAGAUGGUGAACUAUGCCUGGUCAGGACGAAGUCAGGGGAAACCCUGAUGGAGGUCCGUAGCGAUUCUGACGUGCAAAUCGAUCGUCGGAACUGGGUAUAGGGGCGAAAGACUAAUCGAACCAUC
Molecule: ribosomal RNA, 798 nt
Filed under: Phloeotribus scarabaeoides
Lineage: Eukaryota; Metazoa; Arthropoda; Insecta; Coleoptera; Curculionidae
Description: eukaryotic LSU rRNA
Rfam family: Eukaryotic large subunit ribosomal RNA
Source: RNAcentral